This 506-nucleotide ribosomal RNA is filed under the name uncultured bacterium. RNAcentral's name for it is "partial 16S ribosomal RNA". It matches the Rfam family "Bacterial small subunit ribosomal RNA", at positions 30 to 523 of the family's 1533-position model. The record is from RNAcentral.
AUUGAACGCUGGCGGCGUGCUUUACACAUGCAAGUCGAACGGCAGCAUGGGUAUGCUUGCAUACCUGAUGGCGAGUGGCGAACGGGUGAGUAAUACAUCGGAACAUUUCUCUUAGAUUGGGAUAACCCAUCGAAAGAUGGGCUACUACCGGAUAAGCUCUGAGGAUGAAAGCUGGGGACCUUCGGGCCUGGCGCUGCGAGUUUGGCCGAUGGCCGAUUAGCUAGUUGGUGGGGUAAAGACUUACCAAGGCGAUGAUCGGUAGCUGUUCUGAGAGGAAGAUCAGCCACACUGGGACUGAGACACGGUCCAGACUCCUACGGGAGGCAGCAGUGGGGAAUAUUGGACAAUGGGCGCAAGCCUGAUCCAGCCAUACCGCGUGGGUGAAGAAGGCCUUCGGGUUGUAAAGCCCUUUUGUUGGGAAAGAAAUCCAGCUGGCUAAUACCCGGUUGGGAUGACGGUACCCAAAGAAUAAGCACCGGCUAACUUCGUGCCAGCAGCCGCCGCGG